This 253-nucleotide ribosomal RNA is filed under the name uncultured bacterium. RNAcentral describes it as "partial 16S ribosomal RNA". It matches the Rfam family "Bacterial small subunit ribosomal RNA", at positions 524 to 776 of the family's 1533-position model. The record is from RNAcentral.
UACGUAGGGUGCAAGCGUUGUCCGGAAUUAUUGGGCGUAAAGAGCUUGUAGGCGGUUUGUCGCGUCUGCUGUGAAAUUUCGGGGCUCAACCCCGAACUUGCAGUGGGUACGGGCAGACUAGAGUGUGGUAGGGGAGACUGGAAUUCCUGGUGUAGCGGUGAAAUGCGCAGAUAUCAGGAGGAACACCAGUGGCGAAAGCGGCUUCCUGGUCCAGCACCGACGUUCAGGCACGAAAGCGUGGGGAGCAAACAGG